Long non-coding RNA from Toxorhynchites rutilus septentrionalis, 1434 nucleotides. RefSeq lists it as uncharacterized. The transcript has 4 exons. Lineage: Eukaryota; Metazoa; Arthropoda; Insecta; Diptera; Culicidae. The record is from RefSeq and is a predicted model, not a curated record.
AAUUAAUUCAAAUCUUCCAAUCUUUGCUAGGAGAAAGAGCUUGAAAGACGAAAACUAUUUAGACAGUCUUGACAAACGACUAACGUUUGCAUUUUGUUGCUGCUGAACAGCUGUAAAGCUAUAGCCUACUAAUUUAUUUGACGUGUUGAUACUCUGCUUUUUGUGACGAAUUAUUUGUACGGGAUAAAACCAAAUUCCAUAGAACGAUGUCUGGAAAUAAUAGAAUCGGAAGUGAAAUUUGGUAUCACUUCGAAAAACAGUACAAAAAGGGAAAAUGCAGAUAUUGCCAAGCUGUAUUGGCGAUAUCUGCAGGAUCAACAGCGAACUCAAAGCGGCAUUUGAAGAGCAAACAUCCGUUUGUCUCUACGAACGAGUUGGACAACGAGCUUCGAAAGCAGCAUCCGAAACAUUCGAUGGGAAUAGACCUGGAACAUCUGCAUCAAUUAAAUUAAGUGAUAAUGUUUCGUCUGUAGAGUCAUCUACUCCGAUGCCUGUUCCUGUCGGAAUGAACCCUCAAAAUGAUCUGUCGGGAAUACCACCCGUUCUCUUUAGUAGAAGAUGAGGAAUUUAAAAAAAUCGUCUUUGUCCUUCAUACUCACUGCCGAGUAGAAAGACCCUUUCAAACAGCUUGUUGACGGCUGUACAUGAAGAUUUGACAAGAUAGGUGAAGUUGGAGCUGGAAGCCUGCUGUUUGUCUUACCUGUGAUGGGUGGACAAACAUCAACAACAUCGGGUUUAAUGCUGUCACUGCACAUUUCUUCGGAACGAAUACCGAACUGAAGGCAUAUUUACUCGAGUGUUCGGAGUUUGAAGAACGACAUACCCGGGAGAAUAUCGCCCAGUGGACAAAUACUGUUAUAGGAAAAUACGGCAUACAAAAUGAUGAUGUUGGAUUAAAGAGGCUUUAAACUUUUCAGUUCAUUCGCCUCUAAAAACAUACAAAAUAAAAUCACAUCUAUCGUAACCGACAACGCCGCAAACAUGAAAUCCGCAUCAUCAACUCUUAAAAUAAGACACCUUCCGUGUUUUGCCCAUACGAUUAAUUUGGACGUUCAAGUUUCAAUUUCUAAAUCAAUUAGAUAUGUGGAUGACAAGACCAACGACAUAGUACAAUACUUCAAAAAAAGCUCGUAUGCUCUCUCGAAGCUGCAUGAUAUACAAAAUGAAAUGAACAUGAGGAGUUUGAAACUGAAUCAAGAUGUUCCCACGCGUUGGAACUCAACGUAUGAUAUGCUGGACCGCGUUCUUGUUAAUAAAGAAGCUAUAAUAUCAACGUUGGCGAUACUUAAUUCCGAACUAAACCUGGAAGCGGAGAUUGGGAGAUUAUCGAACACAGUAUAAAAUUAUUGAAGGUAUUAGAUGAAGUGACCGUAGAAAUUUCAAGGGAGAAAAAAGUUUCGCUUUCAAAAUGUGCGAUGCUUUCCAAAGUCUUGA